Molecule: ribosomal RNA, 370 nt
Filed under: uncultured organism
Description: partial 16S ribosomal RNA
Rfam family: Bacterial small subunit ribosomal RNA
Source: RNAcentral
GUAGGUGGCAAGCGUUGUCCGGAAUUAUUGGGCGUAAAGCGCGCGCAGGCGGUUCUUUAAGUCUGAUGUGAAAGCCCACGGCUCAACCGUGGAGGGUCAUUGGAAACUGGAGAACUUGAGUACAGAAGAGGAAAGCGGAAUUCCACGUGUAGCGGUGAAAUGCGUAGAGAUGUGGAGGAACACCAGUGGCGAAGGCGGCUUUCUGGUCUGUAACUGACGCUGAGGCGCGAAAGCGUGGGGGAGCAAACAGGAUUAGAUACCUGGUAGUCCACGCCGUAAACGAUGAGUGCUAAGUGUUAGGGGGUUUCCGCCCCUUAGUGCUGCAGCUAACGCAUUAAGCACUCCGCCUGGGAGUACGGCCGCAAGGCUG